AAACUGCUUUUAUCUGUGAAGAUUUUGACGGUAGCAGAUGAAUAAGGAUCGGCUAACUCCGUGCCAGCAGCCGCGGUCAUACGGAGGAUCCAAGCGUUAUCCGGAAUUACUGGGCGUAAAGAGUUGCGUAGGUGGCAAAGUAAGCAGGGCAUGAAAUUGUGUGGCUCAACCAUACACCCAUGUUCUGAACUGCUUAGCUUGAGCAUGAGAGAGGUAGAUGGAAUUCCCAGUGUAGGAGUGAAAUCCGUAGAUAUUGGGAGGAACACCGAUGGCGUAGGCAGUCUACUGGCUCAUUGCUGACACUAAGGCACGAAAGCGUGGGGAGCGACCGGGAUUAGAUACCCCGUUAGUCCACGCCGUAAACGAUGGAUGCUAGCUGUUAUUCGUAUCGACCCGAGUAGUAGCGAAGCUAACGCGUUAAGCAUCCCGCCUGUGGAGUACGAGCGCAAGCUUAAAACAUAAAGGAAUUGACGGGGACCCGCACAAGCGGUGGAGCGUGUUGUUUAAUUCGAUGAUAAGCGAAGAACCUUACCCAGGCUUGACAUCCUGCUAAUUUCUCCGAAAGGAGAGAGUGCCUUCGGGCCGCAGUGACAGGUGUUGCAUGGCCGUCGUCAGCUCGU
This 620-nucleotide ribosomal RNA is filed under the name uncultured bacterium. Its description in RNAcentral is "bacterial SSU rRNA". It matches the Rfam family "Bacterial small subunit ribosomal RNA", at positions 427 to 1063 of the family's 1533-position model. The record is from RNAcentral.